Oncorhynchus keta (chum salmon) is the source of this 3440-nucleotide long non-coding RNA. RefSeq lists it as uncharacterized. Lineage: Eukaryota; Metazoa; Chordata; Actinopteri; Salmoniformes; Salmonidae. The transcript has 2 exons. The record is from RefSeq and is a predicted model, not a curated record.
UUGGUCGGGGUAGGCCAUCAUUGUAAAUAAUAAUUUGUUCUUAACUGUUUCUGAGGCCAGGUUUAAUGGGCACAUGACUAUUGUCUUUUUUGCUGAUUAGUGUCAAGCAUGGUGCCAGAAACCUUCCCCUUCUCUUUGAGGGGUUGUGUGUUUUUCAGCUGUUCAAAUUAGGCUUUGGAGGGGUUUGUAUGUGUGAGAAGGAUACAUGUGGAGAACGACAGCUACGCAGUGUCUUAAUCUACACGGGAAGCCUGUCCGACCCUAGCACGGCUGUAAGCAAUCUGCUGGCUAGGGUCUUAGUAGGGCUAUGAGUUGAAUUGCUGUGAAUUGCUGUGUACCGUAGUUUAACUCUAUUUUUAUUUCUGUCCAUCAGCGCCCUGGGAGGUUCCUCUGCACUACACAUCCCAACAUUCCCCAGUGGAGGCAGCCUCAUCGACUAUGUACCUCAAGUCUGCCAGCUCCUCACCAACAAGGUGCAGUAUAUCAUUCAAUGAUACCACGAGAGGAGAGAGUACAUUGCUGCCUUUCUCAGUCACUUUGGAAUGUGAGUCUGGUGUGCGUGCGCGCAUGUAAGGGAGAAGGGCAAGGAAACGUUGUGGGAGCAAGCAUAUCUGUAACAUUGUAUUUGAUUAUGGUGGGCACAUUAGUGUCUUUAUGCAGGGGGGUGGUGGAGUACCAUGCAGAGGGAUUCACCAAGCUCACUCUUCUCCUCAUGUAGAAAGACUUCUGUUUCCUUGUCCAUGGUGAGUAACACACACACACCUUUCAUUCUCACUAUGUCUUCCUCCCCAAACUCUCACCUCUCCAGUGGACCUUCCUCUACUCCCCACGGGACCAGCCCACCCUGACAUUCCAGUCUGUGUACCACUUACCCAAAAGUGGGCAGCUCCACUGGCAGGUGCAGAAGUCCUAUGUAACAGUUUUCUUCCUGGGAAGGAGAGGAGGACCAAAAUGCAGCGUGGUUAAAGUCCAUGAGAGUCCAUCAGAGAAACUAAACAUGAACAGAAUACAAAACAAGAACCGUGAAGACCCAAAAACAUUCCCGUGUGGUACAAACACUGACACAAGAGACAACCACCCACAAAAUACCCAAAGAAUAUGGCUGCCUAAAUAUGGUUCCCAAUCAGAGACAACGAUAAACACCUGCCUCUGAUUGAGAACCACUCUAGGCAACCAUAGACUUGCCUAGACAACUACACUGAACACAACCCCAUGAAUCUAAUAAACCCCUAGACAAGACGAAACACAAAUAAAUCACCCAUGUCACACCCUGGCCUAACCAAAAUAAUAAAGAAAACACAGAUAACUAAGGCCAGGGCGUGACAUCCUACCCUUACAGCCCGCGAUGGGACGGCAACGAGAUGGCCAAAAGAGCCAGGUAAGGCAAGACACUACUGGACAGAUAGGGUGAAGUUGCCCCUAGAUGCUGUUGAAUAAGUUUAGCCUAUUCCUCACUAAUGGUUAGGAUUGGGGGAGGGGAAGCUGAUCUUAGAUCUGUACCUAGGGGAAACAAUCACCCGUAGCAUACUGGACAACAUUGACUUUUUGAGCUACUAUACUGUACAGUAAUUACCCAUAAUACAUGAUGAUAAUGAUUCAAAUCAAAGUUAUUUGUUUAAGUCACGUAAUCCAAUCGACUAGCACAAAACGAGAACCUGCUGCCAUCUUUGGACUAGGUCUCCCUCGCAAAAUAGAUUUGAUCUCAAUUAAACUUAUCUGGAUUUAUAAUGGUAACAUGAAAAGCAAAACAAUCCUUGUCAUACUAAUAAUCACUAACAGUAUGGACAUCAAAUCACUUUAAUUGAAACCACAUAUCACUACUCACACUGGUAAAAAUGUAUAUGGCAAUUUAAAAAAAAUAGAAUUAUAGAUGUAUGGCUCUCCCAAAUUGUAUUUACUUUACCUUUUUUCUAUUUAACAAGAACCCGUUGAACCUAUUAGUGAAUUAAUGGCUUUAUCUCUAGCAUUAUCGUGUUUACUUAGCAAAGGAGUGCUUAACUGUAACAGGAGUGCUUAACUGUAACAGUUGAGUUUUUGUCCUAAAGUUGAUAGUUACAUGGAACAGAUGGAAUUUUCUUUGUUUACAUCGCUAGUCUCCAAGGAAAGUCAGUAUCUUAUCUCUGUUUUGCUGACAAGUAGUUUUCAGUCUUAGUUUGGAACUGUGGAGGGCCCAAAAUAUGCAAACAUUCCAAAUGCCUGGGAUUCCAACCUAUCAGCUACUGGUUUAUAACUGAGAAGAGUUUGUAUUCUCGGCUACCUGACCUGGAGUGAAACUCGCCCUUAAACACACACGCACACACUGUUUGGUUUUGACAGCUCUUAAUUAUUGUACAUUGUCAUUCCAUUGCAUUUUUUGUCUUGGUUUUUCUUUUAGUUUUACUUGCUUGCUCCUCACAAUUUCUCAUUUUCUAUAAGGAAGAUUGAACAUUGAGAUAAUCAGAAGUAGCCAUCGGUCUCUCUGUCUUGAUUUCACAGUGGUAAAUUGUUGAGAUGUUUUGUGUUUAGAUUAUACUCUCAGCAUGUCAGGAGACAACUUUUUCCUGCUGAAAGAACAAACUGGCGCUGCACUUUUAUGGUCAGAUAAGAACUGUAGUACUCCCAGUAAAUCUGUCUGUCUAAAUUACUUUUAAUUGGUAUCUUUCUCUCUCACUCCACAGAGCAUAUUUCAAGAGCUUCAUUCCUCAAUUUCAGGAAGAGGCCUUUGCCACUGAAACUCUAGGAGUGUAGUGUAGUGUGUGUUAAUGCGCUGCACAUAAGUGACAAUGUACGCUGUACAGGGAUUCUCUAACUCCAUGUUUAGCCAUGUGUUUUAUGCUUUCCCUGAAUUGUCUGCGUUUCCAUUUUAUUUCUUUUUUUUACCCUUCUUAAAAUUACAGAAAGAAAAUGCUGUUGCUAAAAUGGUUAGGGUCAGUAGUUCAGAACCACUUAGUCUGUCAAUAGACAGAUGUUGGGUUUGCUCAGCCAAGGUGCCCCAGCCUCAAACAAGACAUCACUUCUGAUCUUCUACAUUUACAUUUACAUUUAAGUCAUUUAGCAGACGCUCUUAUCCAGAGCGACUUACAAAUUGGUGCAUUCACCUUAUUUCUAAUUGGUUGUGAGAACUGGAAAAGGGCCCUGAACUCUUUGGCUGGAGCUUGAUGUGAUGCGGUCAUCUUCUGGAAAAACCUUCAGUGGUUCAUCUUGAUUCAUAUAAUACAUUCUUACGAGUGGUAUCAUUACUUUAUCAUUCUACAGUUGUCUUAAUCUUUGCCUUGAGAGGAGUAUUCCUCAGUACUAUGUACAUUGGAGAGAAUACUGUAUGUUCUAUUUUUCAUUUGUAAAGACCUGUGAUCAUAUUUGAUUCACUUACUCCAUGAAGGUAAGUUACUAAAUGUUUUCUGUUAUUUUCAUUUCACCACCAUCUCAAUCACUCCUAUUCCAAAUAAAACCCUGAAAUCCUG